This 215-nucleotide unclassified non-coding RNA is filed under the name Hevea brasiliensis (rubber tree). The record is from RNAcentral. Lineage: Eukaryota; Viridiplantae; Streptophyta; Magnoliopsida; Malpighiales; Euphorbiaceae.
CCAACACCCAGAUCAUACUUUGUCUUCUUGCCCAAAUUCCACACCCUCUUGCUCCCCUUCAUCACCACCAAAUCAUGCCCAAAUGUAUGGUGAUGGGCCGGCUCAACACUCCCUGCCUUGAAGCUCACUAUAGCUGAUGUUGGGCUCUCCCUUACUAUCUUCAUUGAACCUCCUGGGAUAAUAUCAAUCGGAUCCAGCUUCCUGUUCUUCACUAA